GAUGAACGCUGGCGGCGUGCCUAAUACAUGCAGGUCGAGCGAACAGACGAGGAGCUCGCUCCUCUGACGUUAGCGGCGGACGGGUGAGUAACACGUGGAUAACCUACCUAUAAGACUGGGAUAACUUCGGGAAACCGGAGCUAAUACCGGAUAAUAUAUUGAACCGCAUGGUUCAAUAGUGAAAGACGGUUUUGCUGUCACUUAUAGAUGGAUCCGCGCCGCAUUAGCUAGUUGGUAAGGUAACGGCUUACCAAGGCAACGAUGCGUAGCCGACCUGAGAGGGUGAUCGGCCACACUGGAACUGAGACACGGUCCAGACUCCUACGGGAGGCAGCAGUAGGGAAUCUUCCGCAAUGGGCGAAAGCCUGACGGAGCAACGCCGCGUGAGUGAUGAAGGUCUUCGGAUCGUAAAACUCUGUUAUUAGGGAAGAACAAAUGUGUAAGUAACUAUGCACGUCUUGACGGUACCUAAUCAGAAAGCCACGGCUAACUACGUG
This 497-nucleotide ribosomal RNA is filed under the name uncultured bacterium. RNAcentral describes it as "partial 16S ribosomal RNA". It matches the Rfam family "Bacterial small subunit ribosomal RNA", at positions 28 to 507 of the family's 1533-position model. The record is from RNAcentral.